UUUCUGUAGGUGAACCUGCGGAAGGAUCAUUCAUAAUAAAGUGUUUUAUGGCACUUUUUAAAAAUCCAUAUCCACCUUGUGUGCAAUGUUAGAUCUCGUCAAUCUUGGCGAGAUUUUUAUACAUCAACUCAUUCUUUAACUAAUUUGUCUGAAAAAUAUUAUGAAUACUUAAUUCAAAAUACAACUUUCAACAACGGAUCUCUUGGCUCUCACAUCGAUGAAGAACGCAGC
RNAcentral lists this unclassified non-coding RNA (231 nucleotides) under plant metagenome. RNAcentral describes it as "partial contains small subunit ribosomal RNA, internal transcribed spacer 1, and 5.8S ribosomal RNA". The stretch from base 183 to 231 matches the Rfam family "5.8S ribosomal RNA", at positions 1 to 49 of the family's 154-position model. The record is from RNAcentral.